Molecule: long non-coding RNA, 1115 nt
Filed under: Cavia porcellus (domestic guinea pig)
Lineage: Eukaryota; Metazoa; Chordata; Mammalia; Rodentia; Caviidae
Description: lncRNA (ENSCPOG00000036216.1)
Source: RNAcentral
GUUAAUCAUCAGAUCAUUCAUGCAUGGAUGAGGAGGAUGAUAAAGACUUUGACAUUGGCCAUUGGAGUCAAAGUUCCUGGAACAGUGAAAUGGAACAAGGAACAACUGCUACAGACACAGGGAAUGCAGACCUCCUUAAUUCAGAGGAAAAGAACAGCAAUGGAACUAUGCAACAAAGUUGUGGAGCGCACUGGUGAGCUGAGAGGUGAACAGCCAGGUGCAGAAUCCCAAAGACCUACUGUGAUAACUGGAAAAGCAAAAAGAUGUCAGCUGUGCCCUACAGGAAAACAACCCAUACGUUCUAUCAAUGUUGUGCAACUAGUGAAUGGAAUGUGCAGUUUUCAUAUGUGAAGACUGCCUUGAGUGUGACAGUUGAAGCAAAGAUGAUUUCUGUGUUGGACUUUUGUCUGUAUUUGCAUUGUAGUUCAUAUAGGUCUUUAUUUCUGAUGUUAUCUUCUAGGUUCUGUAAGUAAACAGUUGAUGUGACAAUACUGAUGUCUAUGCUAAGUGCUCAUUACGUAUUUGAUAGUUUAUUUUAUGGCAUCUUAUUUUCCUGCUAAGUGCACAUUGUACAACACAGUAGGAAGCUCCUGAGGUGAGCUCCUGAGGAGAGGUGACAAGAAUGGCCUGUCACAUAGGAGAAGACAUGUUCUGUCAGUAUAAGUGAGAAGUGCACAUGGAGCAUGCAUUUGUCAUGCAUAAAGAUUGCCUUGGGCGUGACAACUGAAGCAAAGAUUUUUUUGUAAAGUUCUAUUGGUAUUUUCAUUGUAAUUUAUAUAAGAAUUUACUUCUGAUGUUAUCUUUUAGGUUUUGUAAACAAGUACACAGCUGGUAAGAAUAUGUUGAUGUUUAAACAUGCAAUACAUAUGAAGAAUUUAAUACUUUAUGUUCCUGUUAACUACACAUUGUAUAAUGUAAGAACCUCAUGACAAAACAGCAAGAUGUCUAGUAUGUCUAUAAAAAUACCAGGAAAGCAAAAACACAUGUGCUGUCAUGUAAGCAGUACAUGUAUAUGGAACAUGCUGUUGUGAUGUGUGUAGACUGCCUUAGGUAUGGUAAUUGAAGCAAAGAUUUUUGUAGAGUUGUAUUGGUAUUUUCAUUGUAGUCCAUACAGA